This 253-nucleotide ribosomal RNA is filed under the name uncultured bacterium. RNAcentral describes it as "partial 16S ribosomal RNA". It matches the Rfam family "Bacterial small subunit ribosomal RNA", at positions 524 to 776 of the family's 1533-position model. The record is from RNAcentral.
UACGUAGGAUGCAAGCGUUGUCCGGAUGUAUUGGGUUUAAAGGGUGCGUAGGCGUCCUAUUAAGUUAGUGGUGAAAUCGUGCGGCUUAACCGGAUACCCGCCAUUGAUACUGAUAGACUUGAGUGCGACAGAGGGUGUUGGAAUGUGUGGUGUAGCGGUGAAAUGCUUAGAGAUCACGCAGAACACCAAUUGCGAAGGCAGAUGCCUAUGUCGUAACUGACGAUGAGGCACGAAAGAGUGGGGAGCAAACAGG